GCGGGCAUUGUUUAGUGGUAGAACCUCAGUCUUCCAAGCUGAUGGCGCGGGUUCGAUUCCCGCUGCCCGCACCA
RNAcentral lists this transfer RNA (74 nucleotides) under Gammaproteobacteria bacterium. RNAcentral describes it as "tRNA-Gly". It matches the Rfam family "tRNA". From Rfam's summary of the family: Transfer RNA (tRNA) molecules are approximately 80 nucleotides in length. Their secondary structure includes four short double-helical elements and three loops (D, anti-codon, and T loops). The record is from RNAcentral. Lineage: Bacteria; Pseudomonadati; Pseudomonadota; Gammaproteobacteria.